ACCAACUCUGAUUGAUCCCAGUUUUGAAGUGCAAACUUUGCCGACUUUUGCAUCUCUAUUGCUGGAAAAUGAUAGGGGUUGCAAAUGAUCAAAUGUAUAUUUAUGUGUAUUUUUUAUCUGGAAAAGAAAAAUCUCUGAUUUAUACAGCUUCAUUUAUCAUAUGUUUUUUUGGAUUAUAUUUUGUUGGCAACAAUUGAUGUGCCUGCUGCCAAAGUGCUGAGAAAUUUUCA
This 230-nucleotide unclassified non-coding RNA is filed under the name Hevea brasiliensis (rubber tree). Lineage: Eukaryota; Viridiplantae; Streptophyta; Magnoliopsida; Malpighiales; Euphorbiaceae. The record is from RNAcentral.